This 510-nucleotide ribosomal RNA is filed under the name bacterium EP1.13. Its description in RNAcentral is "bacterial SSU rRNA". It matches the Rfam family "Bacterial small subunit ribosomal RNA", at positions 91 to 611 of the family's 1533-position model. The record is from RNAcentral.
AUUAGUGGCGAACGGGUGAGUAACACGUGAGUAACCUGCCCCUGACUUCGGGAUAACUACGAGAAAUCGUGGCUAAUACCGGAUAUGACAUGUGCCCGCAUGGGUGUGUGUGGAAAGAUUUAUCGGUUGGGGAUGGGCUCGCGGCCUAUCAGCUUGUUGGUGGGGUAGUGGCCCACCAAGGCGACGACGGGUAGCCGGCCUGAGAGGGUGACCGGCCACACUGGGACUGAGACACGGCCCAGACUCCUACGGGAGGCAGCAGUGGGGAAUAUUGCACAAUGGGCGCAAGCCUGAUGCAGCGACGCCGCGUGAGGGAUGACGGCCUUCGGGUUGUAAACCUCUUUCAGUAGGGAAGAAGCUCUUCGGAGUGACGGUACCUGCAAAAAAAGCGCCGGCUAACUACGUGCCAGCAGCCGCGGUAAUACGUAGGGCGCAAGCGUUGUCCGGAAUUAUUGCGCGUAAAGAUCUCGUAUGUGKUUUGUCGCGUCUGCUGUGAAAACGCAAGGCUUA